This 439-nucleotide ribosomal RNA is filed under the name uncultured bacterium. Its description in RNAcentral is "partial 16S ribosomal RNA". It matches the Rfam family "Bacterial small subunit ribosomal RNA", at positions 339 to 795 of the family's 1533-position model. The record is from RNAcentral.
CUACGGGCGGCUGCAGUGAGGAAUAUUGCACAAUGGGGGGAACCCUGAUGCAGCAACGCCGCGUGGAGGAUGACGCAUUUCGGUGUGUAAACUCCUUUUAUAUGUCAAGAAAAUGACGGUAGCAUAUGAAUAAGCACCGGCUAACUCCGUGCCAGCAGCCGCGGUAAUACGGAGGGUGCAAGCGUUACUCGGAAUCACUGGGCGUAAAGGACGCGUAGGCGGGUUGGAAAGUCAGGUGUGAAAUCCUACAGCUUAACUGUAGAACAGCACUUGAAACUUCUAAUCUAGAGUAUGGGAGGGGGAGAUGGAAUUAGUGGUGUAGGGGUAAAAUCCGUAGAUAUCACUAGGAAUACCUAAAGCGAAGGCGAUCUCCUGGAACAUUACUGACGCUAAGGCGUGAAAGCGUGGGGAGCAAACAGGAUUAGAUAUCCGCGUAGUC